UAAGCGGAGGAAAAGAAACUAACAAGGAUUCCCCUAGUAACUGCGAGUGAAGCGGGAAAAGCUCAAAUUUAAAAUCUGGUGGCCUUUGGCCAUCCGAGUUGUAAUUUAGAGAAGCGUCUUCCGCGCCGGACCGUGCACAAGUCUCCUGGAAUGGAGCGUCGUAGAGGGUGAGAAUCCCGUCUUUGGCAUGGAUGACCGGGGCUUUUGUGAUGCGCUCUCGAAGAGUCGAGUUGUUUGGGAAUGCAGCUCAAAAUGGGUGGUGAACUCCAUCUAAAGCUAAAUAUUGGCGAGAGACCGAUAGCGAACAAGUACCGUGAGGGAAAGAUGAAAAGCACUUUGGAAAGAGAGUGAAACAGUACGUGAAAUUGUUGAAAGGGAAACGCUUGAAGUCAGUCGCGUCGGCCGAGACUCAGCCUUGCCUCGGCUUGGUGUACUUCUUGACCGACGGGUCAGCAUCAAUUUUGCCCCUUGGAUAAUGGCGAGGGAAAUGUGACACCUUUAUAGGUGUGUUAUAGUCUCUCGUCGCAUGCAAGGGUCGGGAUUGAGGAACUCAGCACGCGCCUUCGGGCGUCGGGGCCUUGCCCACGAUACGUGUUUAGGAUGUUGGCGUAAUGGCUUUAAACGACCCGUCUUGAAACAC
RNAcentral lists this ribosomal RNA (640 nucleotides) under Russula ochroleuca. Its description in RNAcentral is "LSU rRNA". It matches the Rfam family "Eukaryotic large subunit ribosomal RNA", at positions 47 to 662 of the family's 3401-position model. Lineage: Eukaryota; Fungi; Basidiomycota; Agaricomycetes; Russulales; Russulaceae. The record is from RNAcentral.